RNAcentral lists this long non-coding RNA (876 nucleotides) under Coffea arabica (coffee). RNAcentral's name for it is "long non-coding RNA (CARA_LNC007760)". The record is from RNAcentral. Lineage: Eukaryota; Viridiplantae; Streptophyta; Magnoliopsida; Gentianales; Rubiaceae.
GUGUGUUGGUGAUGUGUGGUGUGUGGUGUGAACGUGUGCAAAAUGAAAAGUAAAAAGGCCAUGGGACUUUGGAAAGCGACGAUUUGGCCAAAUGAAAUUUUAAAAAGGGUUUUUAAAUAUGAAAAACGGAGUCGCCACUUGGUAUAGAUUUGGGGUGUACCAAGUCACCCAAAAAAAGUGUUUUUUAAAGACAAAGUAGUAAAACCCUUUUUAAAACGACUCCUAGUCCACGUAAGCCAAAGAAAAAGGUUCGGGGGUCACGUUUGACAAAGGGGAAGGCAAGGAUAGAAUCCAAGGCACCCCUUUGACCUAGCCAAGGCUAGUUGCGCGACUCAAACCAAUUUUUCCUAAUUUUUCUACCCAAGGUAUGUAUCGCGUAUUGGAUAUGUCUAUAUGAAUGCAAAAACCUAGACCUAGGGGGAUUGGGGGAAAUUUCUCUUCAAAGGUUGAGUGGUGCCAAUCACAUUAAUUGUGAAGCCCAAUAAUGAUCCUUUUGGAGAGGUCACACCUAAACCUAAAUGACGUGAAAAAUGAGUGGAAUGCAUGCCAUGUGAAAGUGUGAGUUUAUGUGAAGUGAAAAAAUGAUAAAAGUAAUAAGAUAAGAGUGAAGGUGUGCAAAUGUAGAUGAAAGUACUCGUGUGCGAGUGAAGAUAAAAGUGUUCGUGUGCAAGUGAAAGUGAUAAAAGGGUGCAUGUGUGCAAAUGAGACAAAAGUGAAAGUGUAAUGAUAGAGUGGAUUGAGAAUGCAUGAGCCUAGGGAAUUCAUGCAUAUUGGGUACGGGGAGACCUAAAUCGUGACUUGAUUUUCCCUUUGAUUAGAAGGCGAAACUAGCGUGCUAAGGCUAUCGAGUAGCCACACUCGCUCGUUUCCCUUAUC